This 22-nucleotide non-coding RNA is filed under the name Arabidopsis thaliana (thale cress). Lineage: Eukaryota; Viridiplantae; Streptophyta; Magnoliopsida; Brassicales; Brassicaceae. The record is from RNAcentral.
UUGUUGCAAAAGGUGUCUUGCA